AUAAAACAUUUUACUAAUUUUCUAUAAAUAUCUUAAAUUUUUAUGAUGUACAAUUUAAUAAAAGUAUAUAAUUAUUUAGUUUUCAAUAUUUCAUAAAUAAUACAUAUAUAUAAGCACUUAAGAAACAUAAUAUGCCCUUACACAAAAAUUAUUUUUGUUUAUUAUUUAAAUACAGAUGCAUUGUUAUUUCAUGUGAACACACAAAAAAGUCUUAUUAAGAGAAAUAAGUACUGGAAUGUUCACAUUUUUUAUUUAAAAGUUUGAUGGCACUAAUACACAGAGAUGAAAGAACGCGAACUAAAGUUUUUCAAUUUUGUCUGUAGGCUAGUUGAUUCUUAUCAUGGUAGUAGAAGAAAAUUAAAUGAUUACCUAUAUAAUAGAGCUGUAAAGAUUAGAUAAUUACAGUUUCGAUAAGAAGUAGAUAGAUAAUUUAGGUCAGAAUAUCUAAUUAGACGAUUUUACAUUCAUUUGGGACUAUGCCAAUUUGUCCCCAUUAAGCAGUUGUUCCCUUUAUGGGGUUUCCCAAUUAAGUGGUUUCUACUGUACUGUGUUAUGAAAUAAAAAUAGAACAUGGGUCUAUAAUUUCAGUUAUUUUAUUUAAUAUAGUUCAAUAGGUUACAAGGAAGGGCCAUAAUAUUUCACUAGUUACUAAUUUUGAAGUCUCUUGUUUGGUAAAUCUUAUUUUGUAAAAGUAGAGGUUGCUCUGCUUUAUUGCAAUAUAUGAUAUACUAUUGGAGCUCCUUUUUCAU
Cinara cedri is the source of this 749-nucleotide non-coding RNA. NCBI's taxonomy places the organism in Eukaryota, Metazoa, Arthropoda, Insecta, Hemiptera, Aphididae. The record is from the annotation of a GenBank genome assembly.